Molecule: long non-coding RNA, 728 nt
Filed under: Lathyrus oleraceus (garden pea)
Lineage: Eukaryota; Viridiplantae; Streptophyta; Magnoliopsida; Fabales; Fabaceae
Description: Pisum sativum (pea) long non-coding RNA (PSAT_LNC013795)
Source: RNAcentral
AACUAAAUAAAAGCUUUGAAUUAAAUUAAAUUAGAAAACAGCAUUUCCUUGGUUUCAAAAUGAUUGACAUUUAAAAAUAAAUUUAAAUAGAAAUAAUUACUAUUUUUUUUAUCUGUGUUAUGUAUAGUUUAAUAGUUUAAAAUAAAUGUUAAUUAAAAUCUGAAGUUGAACAGUUUAUUAUUUAAAAUAGAAUUAAUUUUUCUUUCAUAAUGAACAAACCACACAACAUGAACAUGUUCAUGUUCAUCAACACACUCAACUACUAGUAAAAAAAACAUCGUUCUCUUUCUGCAUACGUGUUCUCUGCUCUCUAUUUUCGUGCUUGAAAAAUUGAGAACUGAAAGGUACGUAAAUUCACAUCAAUAUUUCGUUUUCUUUUAAUAAACAGAAAAUAAUUCAUUUAUUUUGGAUAAUAGAAAAUAAAAUAUUUUUACUUAUAAACGAAAAAUAUAAUAUAAAAUAUUUAGAGGACCAAAAUAUAUUUAAUUCUAUAUUUUAAUUUUUCAACCUAAGAUCUUGUUGACGAAAAACACAUAUCGUCUCUUCUAAUUUCUUUCCACAUUAUCACAUUAAAUAUUAACAUAAAAUGGUGGCUUGAUGCUAGUAUAUUGAAUUUUCAGUUCUUAAAAUUAAUAUAAGUGGCAAUUUGAUGCAAUAUUAUCUUUCAUAAGGGGAGAGAAAGAGAAAGAGAAACAGUGUAUUGAGACACACCUUUAACAUCUUUUGUC